AUAAAUUAUUUGGGGUGGUCCGAAGAACAUCGGAUCUGAGAUUAAACCCAUUGAACCUGAUCCGGAUAAUGCCGGCGAAGGGAAAACCUGUAUCCGAGUU
RNAcentral lists this non-coding RNA (100 nucleotides) under Candidatus Microgenomates bacterium. Its description in RNAcentral is "Microgenomates Gottesmanbacteria TPP sequence". It matches the Rfam family "TPP riboswitch aptamer (THI element)". Rfam says of the family: Vitamin B(1) in its active form thiamin pyrophosphate (TPP) is an essential coenzyme that is synthesised by coupling of pyrimidine and thiazole moieties in bacteria. The previously detected thiamin-regulatory element, thi box was extended, resulting in a new, highly conserved RNA secondary structure, the THI element, which is widely distributed in eubacteria and also occurs in some archaea. Lineage: Bacteria; Candidatus Microgenomatota. The record is from RNAcentral.